Molecule: long non-coding RNA, 369 nt
Filed under: Ananas comosus (pineapple)
Lineage: Eukaryota; Viridiplantae; Streptophyta; Magnoliopsida; Poales; Bromeliaceae
Description: long non-coding RNA (ACOM_LNC030402)
Source: RNAcentral
UGAGGACUGAGAGUUUGCUGUGCAAAUAAACUCUUUGUUGAUGAUGUUUUUAUGUGUAAUUUAAUUACAUAAGCACUUGUCAAGUUUCAGGUGAAAACGAGUUAGGAUAGAGAAGUUACGCGACUUUUACUGAUUACUUAAUGUGAAUAGUAACUUGGGUUUUCCGGAGAGGCCAAUCAGUGGAGAUGACUUCUGGUGCGUAUUAGACUCCGUUCAUAGUGAUCCAAUAGCUUGUUUUUGAAGGUUUGACUAUUUUGGACCCAAUGGCAUUGACGGAUUUGGGUUUGAUACACGAUUUUUGAGAAAAAGAAAUUUUAUCGCAAAAAGGGCUUUUUGGUAAUUGGAGAGUGGAUGGAUUUCGUCGCAAAU